This 464-nucleotide ribosomal RNA is filed under the name uncultured bacterium. RNAcentral describes it as "partial 16S ribosomal RNA". It matches the Rfam family "Bacterial small subunit ribosomal RNA", at positions 338 to 795 of the family's 1533-position model. The record is from RNAcentral.
CCUACGGGUGGCAGCAGUAGGGAAUGUUCGACAAUGGGCGAAAGCCUGAACGAGCAAUGCAGCGUGAACGAGGAAGGUCUUCGGAUUGUAAAGUUCUGUUGAAGGGGAAAAAGAGCGGAGAGAGGAAAUGCUUGCUGAUUGAUAUUACCAUUCGAGGAAGUGACGGCUAACUACGUGCCAGCAGCCGCGGUAAUACGUAGGUGGCGAGCGUUAUCCGGAUUGAUUGGGCGUAAAGGGUGCGUAGGCGGCCUGCUAAGUCUGGAGUAAAAGGUAGCGGCUCAACCGUGACUGGCUCUGGAUACUGGCAGGCUAGAGUGCAGGAGAGGUCGGUGGAACUCCAUGUGUAGCGGUGAAAUGCGUAGAUAUAUGGAAGAACACCAGUGGCGAAGGCGGCCGCCUGGCCUGUUACUGACGCUGAGGCACGAAAGCGUGGGGAGCAAAUAGGAUUAGAUACCCCGGUAGUC